RNAcentral lists this ribosomal RNA (810 nucleotides) under uncultured bacterium. RNAcentral's name for it is "bacterial SSU rRNA". It matches the Rfam family "Bacterial small subunit ribosomal RNA", at positions 8 to 796 of the family's 1533-position model. The record is from RNAcentral.
AGAGUUUGAUCCUGGCUCAGGAUGAACGCUGGCGGCGUGCCUAACACAUGCAAGUCGAACGAGUUACUAUCCUGUAGCAAUACAGGAUGUGUGCUAGUGGCAAACGGGUGAGUAACACGUAAGCAACCUACCCUUGGGUGGAGGAUAACCCGCCGAAAGGCGGGCUAAUACUGCAUAUUUUCUUUUUUUCUGCUGAAAAAAAGAAAAAAGCUCUGACGAAAGUCGGGGUGCCUUUGGACGGGCUUGCGGUCCAUCAGCUAGUUGGUAGGGUAACGGCCUACCAAGGCAAUGACGGAUAGCUGAUCUGAGAGGAUGACCAGCCACACUGGAACUGAGAUACGGUCCAGACUCCUACGGGAGGCAGCAGUGGGGAAUAUUGCGCAAUGGGGGAAACCCUGACGCAGCGACGCCGCGUGGAGGAAGAAGUCUUUCGGGAUGUAAACUCCUGUUAGUGGGAACGAAGUUCUCCGCCUCUGGCGGAGAAGACGGUACCCGCAAAGAAAGUCCCGGCUAACUACGUGCCAGCAGCCGCGGUAAGACGUAGGGGACGAGCGUUAUCCGGAAUUACUGGGCGUAAAGCACGUGUAGGCGGUACAGCAAGUCUGGUGUGAAAGGUAUAAGCUUAACUUAUAUAAGUCAUCAGAUACUACUGUGCUUGAGAGUAGGAUGGGGAAGCGGAACUCACGGUGUAGCGGUGAAAUGCGUAGAUAUCGUGAGGAACACCGGUGGCGAAAGCGGCUUCCUGGACUAUUUCUGACGCUAAAACGUGAAAGCUAGGGGAGCAAACGGGAUUAGAUACCCUGGUAGUCC